This 643-nucleotide long non-coding RNA is filed under the name Salmo salar (Atlantic salmon). Its description in RNAcentral is "lncRNA (ENSSSAG00000115590.1)". The record is from RNAcentral. Lineage: Eukaryota; Metazoa; Chordata; Actinopteri; Salmoniformes; Salmonidae.
AGUAGGGAUGGUAGGGACAGUAGGGAUGGUAGUGACGGUGGUGAUGUAUGAUGGUAGAGAUGGUAGGGAUGUUUGAUGGUAGGGGGUGGUAGUGAUGGUAGGGAUGGUAGUGAUGGUAGGGCUGGUAGGAAUGGUAGGGAUGGUAGUGAUGGUAGUGAUAGUAGGGAUGGUAGUAAUUGUAGGGAUGGUAGUAAUUGUAGGUAUGGUAGUGAUGGUAGUGAUGGUAGGGAUGGUAGUGAUGGUAGGGCUUGUAGUGAUGGUAGUGCUUGUAGUGAUGGUAGGGAUGGUAGUGAUGGUAGUGCUGGUAGGGCUUGAAGUGAUGGUAGGGCUUGUAGUGAUGGUAGGCAUGGUAGUGAUGGUAGGGCUGGUAGUGAUGGUGGGGCUUGUAGUGACGGUAGGGUUUGUAGUGAUUGUAGGGAUGGUAGUGAUGGUAGGGCUUGUAGUGAUGGUAGGGCUUGUAGUGAUGGUAGGGAUGAUAGUGAUGGUAGAGCUUGUAGUGAUGGUAGGGCUUGUAGUGUCUGUAGGGAUGGUAGUGAUGGUAGGGCUGGUAGUUAUGGUAGGGCUUGUAGUGAUGGUAAUGAUGGUAGGGCUGGUAGUGAUGUAUGAUGGUAGGGGUGGUAUGGAUGGUAGUGAUGUAUGAUGG